GUUCCUUAUAUUUGCCCUAGCCCUUCACGAACACUGAUUAUUGUCUCUUCCUCACGCGUUGUUGCUCUCUCUUUCUCGGUCUGAAUCUCUCAGUCUCGUUUUCUUUCUCCUUCAUGUUCUUCUCAAUCUCGCAAUCCCAAUUCUUUCGAACUCGAUUGAAGGGUUUGGAUCGACGGAUGACACUUGCAAUUUCUAGGGUUUUCCAUUUUGAUUACAUCACCAAUGGGCGAAUUGAGGAUAGAAGAGAUGUCUCUCCCUGCUCUGUUCGAUCAGGCUCGAAAGAUUCAUCUAUCAGCUUCCGAAUCUGGCAUUGAUCAGGCAUUAAUCAGAGUGAUCUUAUGGUUUUGGAGAGCCAUGUUGUAUACUCCUUGAGUAAAGAAAAGACAGCUGCUCACUUUUAUAUUAUGCAAAGCACCCAAUCAAUCAGGGAGGAUCUUCAAGUUCCUAUUAAAGAUAUUCUUGAGAGGUUUGUGCUGCUCACUGCCAUUCUUUUGUUAAGCACCUGUUUGCUAAUUUGUUGUGGCAGGUAAAGGGUGAUAUACUUUUCAUCACAUGAGUAUGCCUUUUGAUGGUAAGGUUCAAAUGCCAAAGUAAUUUCAAUCUUUGUUGAUCUGUACCUUUAGUCGUUCAACUAAGGCAGACGGAGAUGAAAGUCUCACAGUCCUCAUUCCUAUAAUUUGCACCGAAAGAGGAUGCAUUCUUUAUUUUUUUCAAUCUUAUUAUUGAUUCGGUUUCUACCUUGCAAACACAAUCUUUCUUUCUUGGGGAAUUUUUUUUUGUAGAAACGUUGCAAGGCUGCAUACACCUUACCCUCCUUAGUCCCUGCUUUAAUGGGAGUUUUGUGCACUGGGUUGCUUUCUUUAUCCCACUGCUAAUGUGUGUUUGUGUGUGUGUGUUCUGUUUUUUUUUUGGUAAACCCAGGACUUGCAAUUAUGUCUUCUAUGGGUAAAAUGCUCUAUCAUGUUUACUACUGUUCCAUGCUGGUGUUGAAUUUGUGUAGGUCACAGCACAUGACAAAGCCCAGAAAUACAAAUAAGUUGAUAUUUUUGUUCCACUAAAUUGGAAUGGAGCUGUAUCUGUUCUAUUUGUUGGGUGGAAAUUGACUCCCUAAUAAUUUUUGGGAUGUUCAUGAUAGCAGAAAGAAACUCUUAGUAACAAAACAUGAUCUUUUUCCAAGUGGAAGGGUUUUGCUUGAUUCUCAUUGUGAAUCCCACACAUAACAUUCUAAUAAUUAUUA
Camellia sinensis is the source of this 1237-nucleotide non-coding RNA. Lineage: Eukaryota; Viridiplantae; Streptophyta; Magnoliopsida; Ericales; Theaceae. The record is from RefSeq and is a predicted model, not a curated record.